Lepus europaeus (European hare) is the source of this 483-nucleotide non-coding RNA. Lineage: Eukaryota; Metazoa; Chordata; Mammalia; Lagomorpha; Leporidae. The record is from the annotation of a RefSeq genome assembly.
AUGGAGAGAAGACCGGGGAUUCUGCUGGGGCUUUUGUGGGUCCAGAUUUGCUGGGUGAGAGGGCUGCAGGUGGAGCAGAGUCCUCCAGCCCUGAGUAUCCAGGAGGGAGCCAGUCCUACCCUGAGGUGCAAUUUUUCAGCCUCUGUGACCAACAUGCAAUGGUUCCGACAGAGUCCCAGGCGUGGCCUCAUCAGAUUGUUUUCCAUGGCUCUGGGAGUGAAGGAGGAUGGAAGGUUGAAGUCAACAGUUAACUCUCAGGAGCGCUACAGUACCCUCCACAUCUCAGUCGCCCAGCUGGAGGACUCCGGCACCUACCUCUGUGCAGUAGAGGCACAGUGCUCCCAGGGUGUCUGCAGCCCGGACCCAAAGUGCAGCUGGGCCUGUCUGGGAAAGGGAUCAGAAAGUUUCCGUGACUACUCUGAAAGAAACUUUUAUUUGCUGCAGCCACAGAUCACGAUUCUGACAACCAAACGCAACACUUAA